UACGUAGGGACGAGCGUUGUCCGGAAUUACUGGGCGUAAAGGGCGCGCAGGCGGUAUAUCAAGUCAGCUGUCAAAGACUGGGGCUCAACCCUGGUAUGCGGUUGAAACUAGAUAUGCUGGAGUGCUGUAGAGGCAAGUGGAAUUCCCAGUGCAGCGGCGAAAUGCGUAGAUAUUGGGAAGAACACCGGUGGCGAAGGCGACUUGCUGGGCAGCAACUGACGCUGAGGCGCGAAAGCCAGGGGAGGCAAACGGGAUUAGA
Molecule: ribosomal RNA, 259 nt
Filed under: uncultured prokaryote
Description: partial 16S ribosomal RNA
Rfam family: Bacterial small subunit ribosomal RNA
Source: RNAcentral